UGAGCAAUCUGCCCUUCUCAUCGGAAUAAGCGUUGGAAACGACGUCUAAUGCCGAAUACGACCUCCUUUCGCAUGAUCGGAGGUGGAAAGCUCCGGCGGAGAAGGAUGAGCUCGCGGCCUAUCAGCUAGUUGGUGUGGGUAACGCCCACCAAGGCGACGACGGGUAGCUGGUCUGAGAGGACGACCAGCCACACUGGAACUGAGAUACGGUCCAGACUCCGUAGGAGG
RNAcentral lists this ribosomal RNA (228 nucleotides) under uncultured bacterium. Its description in RNAcentral is "partial 16S ribosomal RNA". It matches the Rfam family "Bacterial small subunit ribosomal RNA", at positions 118 to 348 of the family's 1533-position model. The record is from RNAcentral.